UACGUAGGGUGCGAGCGUUGCCCGGAUUUAUUGGGCGUAAAGGCGCGUAGGCGGCCACGCACGUCCGUUGUGAAAUCGCCCGGCUCAACUGGGCGGGGUCGGCGGAUACGGCGUGGCUGGAGCAAGCUAGGGGGCAAUGGAAUCCCGGUGUAGUGGUGGAAUGCGUAGAUAUCGGGGAGGAACACCAGUGGCGAAGGCGGUUGCCUGGAGCUUUUGCU
Molecule: ribosomal RNA, 218 nt
Filed under: uncultured bacterium
Lineage: Bacteria
Description: partial 16S ribosomal RNA
Rfam family: Bacterial small subunit ribosomal RNA
Source: RNAcentral